Molecule: long non-coding RNA, 1200 nt
Filed under: Homo sapiens (human)
Lineage: Eukaryota; Metazoa; Chordata; Mammalia; Primates; Hominidae
Description: SPRY4 antisense RNA 1
Source: RNAcentral
CUCACUCUCAUGAUGACAUAGAAGAGAUGCGUCUGAAUCUUUCUGCCAGUGUGUUAAAGUUAUUCUGAUAUUGACUGUAGUUCUGAGCUUUGUCUCUAUCCCACCAAACCACUAACUUCUGGAAAUUACUUGUAGACCAAGAUGGGAGGACUCCGUGUGUGGCUCCGUGACUCUCUUCAUGUGACAAAGAAACUUCCUAAAAUACUAAAAGCUAAAGGAGAUUGUUAUCUAAGCUUGAGAUGGAAGGUUGCCAGCGGAAACUUGGAGGAUCACAGCCAGUCGCCUGGGAUUGACCACAGGGAGUGGCAGAGGCAGAAAGCAAAAGACCAGUUGCAAUUAUCCAGAAUCCUGAAUUGAGCCUGUGUUCCCAGUUCCUAGAAACCCUCAAGGUUAUUGGUUUCCUCCUCGCUUAAUAGACCAGUGGAAGAAAUCUACCUCCAGUUCUAUCUUCACAUGAGCAACUGUUUACAGUUUACAAUAUUACUCUGAAAAUCAGUUCUUUUCAAGUUUUAUCUAACACCCACCAGAAGAAACAGAAGAUUAUGAAAAUGGAAUUUGUCAAAGUUCCUCUCCCAACAAUAUGAUAUUUAAUUUUGCUAACAUUUUUUUUUGAACACUUACUAUAUUGCAGACAAUGGUCUAAGUAAAGCAUUUUAUGUGCAUCCUAUCAUGUCAUCAUCACACAGCCCUGUGAGGUAGAUACUAUUAUUAUUAACCACAUUUCACAUUCAAAAAAACUGAGGCUUAGAGAGACUAAGUAAAUUGUCCAAGGUCACACAGCCAUGAAGUGGCAGAGCUGUGGUUAAAACCUAUGUCUGUCUGAUGUUUAAGAUUUUGCUGUUAGCAUUACUUUGAAAUGACAAUAUGAGGGCAUUUUAUGUAUUUUUUUUGCCCCAAUAUGAUCUGCAGAAACUAUGUAUUUUAAGUACUACAUUUCUUUUAUUUACCAAAUUAUUGUCAGAUAAGAAACCGAAAUAAAAGUUUACAGGGUCUAGGAUUCCUCCAUAAUGAAUGAACUUUGGGGUAUUUCAGUGACAAAUUGGCUUUAACGCGAUCAAAUUCCAUCCUACAAUGAAAGUGUGUUAGUUUGUGGUUUCAAGUUUAAAAACAGCACUGUAUUGUCUUCCAGAAAUAUAUAAAUAGAAAUUCAAGAAGUAUUUCAAUGAAUACAGAUAAAAUUAGUUUUGUUAGAACAUCAAA